UUUGGAACAAAUUCAUCUCAAUAGCAAGUAGAAAGUGCGACCAUUUGGAUGUCAAUUUACAAGUACACUUUUCUAGAAACAGCUGUGGACCUCAGUGUGAACUUGCUAAAGAUUCUGUGGCCCUGUGGAAUCACUGUCCUUGUCACCUGCUCUCAGACCUUCCUGGCUCCGUUCUGACCUUUCCUUUGAGCCAUGGCACAUGCAUUCCCAUGAGGCUCAGCAUUGUGGAAGGGGAGCUCCAGAGGCCCUGUGAGAGUUUCACCAGCCACUAAAGAUUUGGAGCUCCGUGUGCAAUAGCACACGUGGCCGCCAGUCUCCGAAAGAUGAACCUGAGGAAACUACUCGGGCCUGACAUUAGCAGAGACAGGUGGGCACUUGCACGGGAUGGAUGAGAACUAGACGUCAUGGUAAAUGGUACUGAAGGCCACAGACAGGCAAUCCUUAUGGUUAUGCCAAGCAAGGGCUCUAACCAAAUUGGGCUGUAUGUAAAACACUGGGGUCAUAACCAUCGUGCCAGAGUUUUUGACUUAACCCUUGAAGCAAUAUGAUCUCAGGAAAGUGUAUCUUCAUCGCUGGGGUGUGGAACAUGACUGUUGAUCCUGAAGUUAAAGUUUUCUGGCUCCAAACUGAGAUUUAACCUUGUGUUACAACCGCCAAUAGCCAGUGAGUCAGUGUAAUGUUGGCUCACUCCUCCACCAGAGGGCGGCCAGCUGAAACCUUCUGUACUCUCAGUGGUACCUGCUCUGCUGCCAUUUCUGACUUGCUUCUACAAGGCUUAGGAACCAUCCACCUUGCUUUAUGUGAUGGAUAGCUAGCAAAUGCCGAGGACCUCCUGUCACCACCUCCCCAGCACUGAACUUCAUGCACGCAGUACUGUGCCGGCCUCUUUACAAGUGUUCUGAAGACUGAACUCUGCCCGUCAAGCCUGCGUGGCAAGUUCAAGCAUUAGACUUCUGUAUCUCCCUGUGUUUACUCUUUUCAGAGCUGCCCAUGUUCCUAUUAUAAUCAGUUUUGUUGUUCUUGUUCAUUAGUCGAGAGGCAUUUGCUUGUCUUGUUCCUUCAUCUAGAUUCUUUCAGCCACAUUUACAUGGUGACAGGAUUGAACUAUUACGGGCUUGCUUUGUAUUGUGGUUGUUUUGUGUUUGCUUGCCUCUUUGGACAUCUUCUAUUUUUCUUUCUUUCUUUCUUUGUAUUUAUUUAUUUUUUUAACUCUUUGUCAUGGCUAUCCAGUAGAGCUGUCACUUUCCUGGGUACACUACCAGUGAAUUGUCCUCACUCCUUUUUUUUUUUUUUUCUUCCAACUGGAGGCAAAGUGAUCAUCCACCAGCAAUAACCAUCUGUCUUCCUGAAGGAGAAGAAAAACUGGAUUCUAACUAGGGGUGAGAAGCUCACCCAAAGCACAGCCUAGCUCCCCAAAUGUAUGGUUAUGAUAUGACCAUAUUAGGAAAAGGGAUUUUUUUACAGUGGCCAGGAAAGUUUUUAAAGAGCUCACACCCUGGAUUUUCCAGACUCUCCAGGUGGAGUCUGCAUAAUUAUUUACAGCUGCGAACAAACAACACCCACUGUGGAGAGGAGCAGGAGAGAGGCUGAGCCUGCUGGUGGGCAGCAAAGGCUGGAGUCUGGGAGCCACAGUGUAACCACUGCCUGCCAGUGUCAAGGACAAUCCUCUCUUGGAACCAGCAGAGGAAGGGCAGCUGUGUUCGUAACUGGUAACUCAAUUUCAGACCUUUGGCCUCCAGACUUGUGAGGGUAAAUUUGUGUUGCCUUAAACCAUCGGGUUUGGGUUUGUGGUAAUUUAUUAUGGCUGCUAGAGGCUCUACCACGCCACCUGUCACUCCUUUGGUGCCCUCCCUCUUACGUUGUGUGUAUUUUACUUUGCUGACAAGUGAUGAAAAGAAAAAAAAGAAAGGAGUUAUACAAAGUCCAAGAGAAAAGCAGGGAAUAGAGAGCAGAGGUGGGUGAGGAAUACUACUUAGGGGAGGACAGAAGGAAGAGGGAAGGAAGAAAUUAAACAGAGAGAAGAGAGCAAGAGAGAGAAAUGAGGUAAGGACCAGAUGGCAUCCACUCAGGUACUUGGCUCUUUCCUUUGCCUCCCUCCAUCUCCCACCCUCCCUGCACUGUCAUGGUCUCCAGUUCCCUUAGGCAUUCUGCUACGCUAAGCAAGUUCAUUUAUUUAUGCUCUUCAGAUUUUUGAACACUCCUGGUCUCUAACCUGCAGGCAGGAGACAGUCUUAGAAGCCAAGGUAAGUCCAAAGCUCACCCGGGAAGCUCCCUUUGCAUAUGCUCUAGGGCACCACAGUCAGGGUCUCCUAAGCAAGCUAAGGCUGCCAAAAGCACCCACUUGGAAUGCUUCCGCGGUCACAUCACCCCACUCUCUUUGCCACCCACAACACAACUGAGCUCAACAAUGCAAGCAGCCCACACGUGCAAAAAUUCCAAAGUUUGGGGAGGGCACUGUGGUUGUUUUUAUUGUUUAUGGUCCAUCUUGGUUCGGCUGGGGGACCUUUAACAUCUGCUGCCCCUAAUGGUCCCUGGAAGUGAAGCUCCCCUAAAUGAUCCUGGAAGCAAGGGCAGGCGUUGACUUGAGGUCUGUCAGCAGAAUUUAGAGAUAAGUGCCAUCUUCUACCCAUUGCCCCCAUCACUCUUCGCAUAUUCUUAUCCAAUUUUUGGAAAAUUUCUCUGAAUUUCUAUCCAGGCAUUUUCCAUCAUUUCUUGAGAGGAUUUUUCAGCAUUAUUGAAGUCUGUUUUAUAUUGUGACCGUCUACUGCUCAAAAAAGUAUUUUAAGAUUUACAUGUGGUAAAGCAAACCUCUUUGGCAUACAGCUCUGUGAGUAAGAGGAACUUUUUGGAGUAGUAUAACAACCGACCCAUCAACACAUAAGACAAUUCACUUUUUUCCCUCAGUACUGGCAGCCGCCCAGUUCCCAGACAUAGCCAACACCACGGGUUUUGGAGACCUGAAAAGUCCCACUGUUUUCUCCAGGCGCCCAACCAUUACCUGACAAGAGCUGCAUAGUGGAGAACGCACCACCACAAACCAACGUGGCAGUAUUCAAAGCAAUCUCUGGCCCACUGCCCACAGACCUGUGUCAUGUUGACACAAUUAAAAUAAACCUCGUCUUCAAGGAGUGAAGACAACUUUGGGCAAGCGCGGCCCUGCCGAUGUGAAAGACAAAACAGGAAGCAGAGCUAUGAACCCUAAAGAAGAUGGUGACAGCGAUCUCUUUGGAUCUGAGGAAGGAAGUGAAGAAGCAAAGAGGCCUCCGAGAAGAGUGCCUUGCACAGUGUGAAUCCAAGAAAGCCGAAAAGCCUGCACGUGUUGCCAAGUCUUCCAUCUUACUAGAAGUGAACCCUUGGGAUGAUGAGACAGACAUGAUAAAACUGGAGAAGUGCAUCAGGAACAUCUGAGUUGAUGGCUUGGUGGGGGAUGGGGGUCUUCCUAAAUUGGUUUCCCAUGGGAUAUGGAAUUUAAAAGCUUCAAAUACAUAGUGUAGUUGAAGAUGAUAACGUUGGAACAGAUACGUUGGAAGAGCAGGUUACUUUUAAGGACUAUGUUGCAGUCCAUGAAGGUGCCUGCCUUUUUACAAAACCUAAAAUCUAUUCUCACCUCAAGUCAGCACAUUAAAUAAAAGGAUGAAAGAAUUUUUUAAAAAAUAUAUAAAAAAAAUUCCCUCUUAGUAAAAAUAAAUAAAUAAAUAAAAAUUACAAAGAUUGCAUCUUGGUAAUCAAAUCCUCUUUCUUUCCUUAGGCUGUGGCUACUGAUAUGAGUUCAUCCCAUCCAGAACUUUAUAUAAAUAGAUAUAGGUUGUUUAGUUGGUUUUGGCUUUUCAAGAUAGGUUUUCUCCAUGUAAAAGAGCCCUGAUUAUACUGGACUUGCUCUAUAGACCAGGCUGGCCUCAAACUCCUAGAGAUCUGCCUAUCUCUGCCUCCAGAGUGCUGGGAUUAAAGACAUGCAUCACCAUGCCUGGCAUAUCUUGAUUUCUUCAGUAAUUCAUGGAUUCCUUUAAUACGUCUACUUUAAGAAGGCAAACAGUAUGGACAUCAGAAGAGGGAGAAAACAGGGAACAGGACAGGAGCCUACCACCGAGGGCCUCUGAAAGACUCUACCCAGCAGGGUAUUAAAGCAGAUGCUGAGACUCAUAGCCAAACUUUGGGCAGAGUGCAGGAAAUCUUAUGAAAGAAGGGGAGGUAGAAAGACCUGGAGGGGACAGGAGCUCCACAAGGAGAGCAACAGAACCAAAAAAUCUGACCACAGGGGUCUUUUCUGAGACUGAUACUCCAACCAAGGACCAUGCCUGGAGAUAACCUAGAACACUUGCACAGAUGUAGCCCAUGGCAGCUCAGUGUCCAAGUGGGUUGCCUAGUAAGGGGAACAGGGACUGUCUCUGACAUGAACUCAGGGACUGGCUCUUCGAUCACUUCCCCCUGAGGGGGGAACAGCCUUACCAGGCCACAGAGGAAGACAAUGCAACCAGUCCUGAUGAGACCUGAUAGGCUAGGGUCAGAUGGAAGGGGAGGGGGACCUCUCUUAUCAUUGGACUUGGAGAGGGGCAUGGGAAGAGAUGAGGGAGGGGGCUACAGCUGGGAUACAAUAAACUGUAAUGAAUAUAAAAAUAUAUAAAGAAAAAAAUUUCUGAAUGUCACUCCUUUUAAUUUAUUAGCAGUUAAGCUCAUAAACACCACUAUUGGUUUAUCCAUCUACCCAGUGAAGGAUAUUUAGGGAUUUCCAGUGUUUUGUUUUUUUUUCCUUCCAUUUAUAAGCAGUACUGUUGUCAUUACCUUAAAACCAGCUCUUUCUGGUUUUAAGCUAGAACUUGGCAAGCAAAGCUUCCAGGUCAGACCCGGCUUGGAUCCUCUGGAUCCUGUUUCUGAAGUGAAUGGUGUCUUCAUCAAUAGGGACUUACCUCCAACCUCUGGGAGGCAACUAAAAUUUAGCCUAUUUUUUCAAAGAGGUUAUUAUAAUUUUUUUGUCUCUUGACUUUCAAAAGUUUCUUUUAAUUUAAUUUUCUGAAGAUUUCAUGAGUAGCAGAUUUAUGUCAUUUCCACACCUCUAUCUCUCCACUCCAACUCCUCCUGUGCUCCCCCACCCUUUUUCAAAGCCAUGUCCUCUUCUUUAAUUAUUGUUACAUAACUGUCUAUGUGCCUAUGCAUAUACAAACACAGCCUGCUGGGCUAACUUCGUGUUGCUUACAUUUGUAUUUGUUUAGAGCUGCCCACUUGGGAUUGGAUAACCUAUGAGAGGGCUCAUCCCUGGAGAAGACUGAUUCUUCCUCUCUCGGCAACCAUUAAUUGCAUAGAGCUCUUCAUCCAGGAGUGGGGUCUUGUGGGAUUUCCAUUAUUCACAGGUCCUCUGGUGUUUUCAUGGUGCCAGUGUUGUUUAGGCAACUUUAUUUUUGUGAUCUCUCAGGUGCAGCUUCCCUUUCAUACCUAAAAGACAUAAUCUGGCAGCAGACUUUCUGGAGCUCUGACUCUUGGCAUCUGUGUUGUCCCUCUUCCUUGAUAUUCCCUGAGCCUUCUGUGCAGAGGUUUGUGUUAUAGAUAUAUACAAUUGGGUAUAAUUGUAUGGCCAACUCACAAUCAGUUGUUCUCUGGGUUUUGACAGAGCCUCAAUUUGCUACAAAACAAAGCCUUUUUGAUGAGGAGUGAUGGCACUAAGCAUCUGCUGAGGGUAAUAAUAAUAAUAAUAAUAAUAAUAAUAAUAAUAAUAAUAAUAAACUUAGAAUGUAACUAGAGGUUACACUGGUUCGGGAAAGUGGCAGCAGUAAGUUCUUCUCUAGGGUCUAAGAUGUUACCAGCUAUGGCUAGUUCACUUGGCUUAUAGUACCGGGCAUGGAUUCCCUCCUACUGUAUGGAUGUUGUUUAAUUAGAUAGUUGUUGGUUAUCCCCAAGAAAUAAGUGUCAUUGCCACAUCCUUAGAACUAUCUUGCUGUGCUGGUUAUUGAUGUGAUUCAUAGCCUUACAGCUGGGUAGGACUCUCAAUCACCAAAUUCCCCCUUUGGCAACUUGCACAGCACCCUUAAUAGUGUGAAAGCUAGUUAGUCCUCAGAGAGCAGGCUUCCAGAUUAGUUGCAUCUUGCUUCCCCCAAAUCCUAUGUCCAAAGUGUAUGGUGUCUUCAUUAAUAGGGUCUUACUUUCAGGUUCUCAGAAGCAACCAAGGACAAUGGCCAUAGCCUAUCCUAUUUUGAGAGUCUCCCUAAUUCCCCUGACCAACAACUCAAAGAAAGAUUUUCCAUCCCUGGCAUUAGGGGUCUUGUUACAUAGUCUAUGGCUCUUAGAUGAAGCGUUAUCACCUCGAGUGUAUAACUUCAUCCAAACUAUGUAUGUAUAUACACACUUAUAUCUGUUAGAUACGUAUAUUUUUAAGUGGACAUAAAAAUAAUGUUUCCCCAUGGCCUUUUCGAAUAUCUUGAACAGUUAUUCUUCCUCCCUUCCUCCUACCCCCUCUCUUCCAUUUACUAUUUUCCCCUUUAUAGCACCUGUCUUUCUUAUAUCCCUCUCUCUAGAGCUCCUCCACCCUGCCCCCACAGCCUCUUUCUACUUUUCUGGCUUCUGCUAUUACUUAAGGUUCUAUGCUCAAAUAUAAAGAUUCCGAGCGUAGGUCCAAAUAUGAGAGACUAAUGAUUUGCCAGCAGUCAAACAUUUAGUGAAAUAAGUGACUUGGAACUCUGGGUCCUGACAUUUCCGUGUUGAAGAGGUAUUGAAUUGGAGAUACAGCUGGGUGAUAAGGCUUCCCUCCUGGCAGGUGCAGUACCACAGGUUUAACCUCCAGCUACUGGGGCAGGUGAGGGGGAAGGUGCUGAGGAAAGAUGGAUCUUCGAGAUCUGGAUCUUCGAGAUCCGUAUCUUCAGAGAAGCAUCUGCCCAAAGAUUUGAGAAGCAGGAUGGUGUAGUGAUUGAAAACCAGAAAUAGGAAACAGGUUAUAUGUGUCAGUUUUCUUAUGUGCACUGUCCAGAUGUCCUUGACUAUGUAGUGGCUACCUAAAACUGAAAACAUCAGAACCAAAUGUUCCAUUUCCUCCUGACUCUCAAGCCUUCUCUUUCUGAAUCCCCACUCCCAAGAAUCUAGGCCAUCCACUUGGUGAAGGACUGAUCCUGUCAUCACCCUCACCAACACCUGAUCGGCAUCAAGGCAAAUCAAGUCAAUUUUUUUUUCUACUCACCCUUCCAAUGUCAAACUGUCAUUGCCUAUCAUGUUAUAAAACAAGCACAUGGUUUAUAUUGAAGUCAGGUUAUAAACGUGUAAGGUACUAGUGGUAAAUAGUAAUCUUAUCACUUAUUAGGUUUCCUAAUUUUUCAUCAAUGUUUGUAUUUCUGAACACAUGUAAAUGAAAAUAACUGAUAAUGCACAAAAACGCACAGUACUGAUCAUCCGAGUUCUGUACAAUAUGUAGGACUACCUAUUGACAUUUUCUGCCCCAUUAUCUGAUGUUGUUGAAAAGAAGCUAAAUAAAAUCCUAGACAUGA
Psammomys obesus (fat sand rat) is the source of this 7463-nucleotide long non-coding RNA. RefSeq lists it as uncharacterized. The transcript has 3 exons. NCBI's taxonomy places the organism in Eukaryota, Metazoa, Chordata, Mammalia, Rodentia, Muridae. The record is from RefSeq and is a predicted model, not a curated record.